Molecule: ribosomal RNA, 224 nt
Filed under: uncultured bacterium
Lineage: Bacteria
Description: partial 16S ribosomal RNA
Rfam family: Bacterial small subunit ribosomal RNA
Source: RNAcentral
GAUCAUGGCUCAGGAUGAACGCUAGCUACAGGCUUAACACAUGCAAGUCGGAGGGGCAGCAUGGUCUUAGCUUGCUAAGACUGAUGGCGACCGGCGCACGGGUGAGUAACACGUAUCCAACCUGCCGUCUACUCUUGGACAGCCCUUUCUGAAAAGGAAGAUUAAUACAAGAUGGCAUCAUGAGUCCGCAUGUUCACAUGAUUAAAGGUAUUCCGGGUAGACGA